RNAcentral lists this transfer RNA (82 nucleotides) under Gracilariopsis chorda. Its description in RNAcentral is "Gracilaria chorda tRNA". It matches the Rfam family "tRNA". Rfam says of the family: Transfer RNA (tRNA) molecules are approximately 80 nucleotides in length. Their secondary structure includes four short double-helical elements and three loops (D, anti-codon, and T loops). Lineage: Eukaryota; Rhodophyta; Florideophyceae; Gracilariales; Gracilariaceae. The record is from Rfam by way of RNAcentral.
GAUGAUAUGGCAGAGUGGUCUAAUGCGUGUGACUAGAAAUCACAUCCUUUCGGGGGCCCAGGUUCGAAUCCUGGUAUCAUCG